RNAcentral lists this ribosomal RNA (317 nucleotides) under uncultured eukaryote. RNAcentral describes it as "partial 18S ribosomal RNA". It matches the Rfam family "Eukaryotic small subunit ribosomal RNA", at positions 1470 to 1796 of the family's 1831-position model. The record is from RNAcentral.
CCCUUAGAUGUUCUGGGCCGCACGCGCGCUACACUGAUCGGUGCAACAAGCAUCCGUCCUUGGCCGACAGGCCCGGGCAAUCUUUGAACGCCGGUCGUGAUGGGGAUAGACCUUUGCAAUUUUUGGUCUUCAACGAGGAAUUCCUAGUAAACGCAAGUCAUCAACUUGCAUUGAUUACGUCCCUGCCCUUUGUACACACCGCCCGUCGCACCUACCGAUUGAAUGGUCCGGUGAAACCUCCGGAUUGGCGCGUGCCCUCGGGCGCCGCCGAGAAGUUGGUUAAACCUUACCAUUUAGAGGAAGGUGAAGUCGUANCA